Molecule: long non-coding RNA, 468 nt
Filed under: Fukomys damarensis (Damara mole-rat)
Lineage: Eukaryota; Metazoa; Chordata; Mammalia; Rodentia; Bathyergidae
Description: lncRNA (ENSFDAG00000025596.1)
Source: RNAcentral
CUAGAACUUCCCUGCCCAGAACUUCCGCAAACCUUGGAGAUGGGGUUGGAGAAGGAGUUGAUUGUGCCAGUGAGACUGGGAGGCAGCUACUCCAAACUCCACAUCCAGAUCUUCAAGUUCAUCUUGAUUCAUAAGGAAACUCUUCCCUGGGAACUUGCAAAGAAGUUGGGAUCCCAGCCUGGGAAGUUGGCUGCCCCAGAUGUCCCUGCUCCUGGACGCUCCUCGCCCCCAGUGCUUCUGCUGCCAGUGCCCUGAGGAGGGCUGGAAGAGCUGGGUUGGGAGGAAGUGGACUUGUGAGACGGUCACACCCGACGUCCCUCUCAGGAGCAUCUGGACGGGAGACUGCACUGUAGACUCACGCUUACCCGUGAGGCCUUGGGCGAGGCAGUGAGCUUCACUGCGCCUCAGUUUCUUCAUCUGUGAAGCCUCUGCCCUGCUGACAUCAUCAGAUGGCAGUGAUGAGCAAAC